RNAcentral lists this ribosomal RNA (253 nucleotides) under uncultured bacterium. Its description in RNAcentral is "partial 16S ribosomal RNA". It matches the Rfam family "Bacterial small subunit ribosomal RNA", at positions 524 to 776 of the family's 1533-position model. The record is from RNAcentral.
CACGGGGGGAGCAAGCGUUGUUCGGAAUCACUGGGCGUAAAGGGCGUGUAGGCGGUCAGGUAAGUGGGAUGUGAAAUGCCCCGGCUCACCCGGGGACCGGCAUCCCAUAUUGCUUGGCUUGAGUACGGGAGAGGAUGUGGGAAUUCCUGGUGUAGCGGUGAAAUGCGUAGAUAUCAGGAGGAACACCGGUGGCGAAGGCGCACAUCUGGCCCGAUACUGACGCUGAGGCGCGAAAGCUAGGGGAGCAAACGGG